CCUACGGGAGGCUGCAGUGGGGAAUAUUGGACAAUGGGGGCAACCCUGAUCCAGCCAUGCCGCGUGUGUGAAGAAGGCCCUCGGGUUGUAAAGCACUUUCAGUGAGGAAGAACGCCUGGUGGUUAAUACCCAUCAGGAAAGACAUCACUCACAGAAGAAGCACCGGCUAACUCCGUGCCAGCAGCCGCGGUAAUACGGAGGGUGCGAGCGUUAAUCGGAAUUACUGGGCGUAAAGCGCGCGUAGGUGGCUUGAUAAGCCGGUUGUGAAAGCCCCGGGCUCAACCUGGGAACGGCAUCCGGAACUGUCAAGCUAGAGUGCAGGAGAGGAAGGUAGAAUUCCCGGUGUAGCGGUGAAAUGCGUAGAGAUCGGGAGGAAUACCAGUGGCGAAGGCGGCCUUCUGGACUGACACUGACACUGAGGUGCGAAAGCGUGGGUAGCAAACAGGAUUAGAUAUCCGUGUAGUC
Molecule: ribosomal RNA, 465 nt
Filed under: Vreelandella stevensii
Lineage: Bacteria; Pseudomonadati; Pseudomonadota; Gammaproteobacteria; Oceanospirillales; Halomonadaceae
Description: partial 16S ribosomal RNA
Rfam family: Bacterial small subunit ribosomal RNA
Source: RNAcentral